CUCUGUGACGGGAGGUCCCCCUUUGCUGCUCUGACGUCAUGGGGAGAUGCCCCUCUUCUGCUGUGACGUCACAGAGCAGUCCCUCUUUGCUGCCGUGACGUCACGGGUAGAUGUCCCUCUGCCGAUGUGAUGUCACAAGGAGGUCCCCCUUUGCCUCUGAGACGUCAUGGGGAGGUGGCCUGCAGGGAGGUCCCCCUUUGCCGCUGUGACAUCACACAGAGGUCCCCCUCUGCCAGUGUGACGUCAAAAGGAGGUGCCCCGCUGUGCUGCACAUUGCUCUGACAUCACAGGGAUGGUGCCCCUUUUGCCUCUGUGAUGUCUCAAGGAGGUCUCCUUUGCCGCUGUGACGUCAUGGGGAGGUGCCCCACUGUGCCUGUGACAUCAGGGGGAGGCCCCCCUUUGCUGCUGUGACGUCACGGCGAGGUGCCCUGCUGCACUGCUGAGCGCUGUGACGUCACUAGGAGGUGCCCCUUUGCUGCUGUGACGUCACUGGGAGAUGUCCCCACUGCCCGUGUCUGUCUGUCCCAGGACACGUGGCCAUUUCCCCACAGUUCCCAGGUGGUGUCAGAGGAUCCAUCAAAAGGCGCUAUUUUUGUGCAGUCCAAUGGGGAAUAGCCUAAGAUGGAAGGAAUUCCAGGGUUCUGACCAGUGGAAAAUUCUGGUUCUGUGGCAUUGCACCUUUCCAUGAUUCCUGUGUUUGACCUCCUUGCUUCCUAACUGCUGGCAGCACAGCAAAGUGUGUUGGAGGUCUGUGGUGAUGUAGGUUUGUCCUCAAGGGCAAAAGAGAGGAACUUUUCUGGCCUGUUUCACCCAGGCCACCAACAUGUCCCGGCAAUUUCAACAGACUGACCUCGAACUCCCUUUGUGCUGUAAAUGGUUGUUUCCAUCCCCAGGACUGCACACAAGGCAGCUGAGCCUUGUUCGGUUUGAAUUGCUGAUGACAAACCAGGGAGAAGCUUCAGGGUUCUUCCCUGUCCUGAUGGAAAGACACAGCCUGUGAGUGGUUUGCUAAGUGACUUCUCCCAACAAAUCCCACGUGAGGUGAGGUUCACAAAUCUUGCUGUUGUCUUCCUGCCCUGAUGAUGCAGCUCUGGAUGUGCAGCCACUGGACUCGCCCCUCCUGCUUCCCCACUUCAUCAGGCACCGAGUUCCCAGAUCUCUCCUCCAGCUUCAAUAAUAACAACAACAUUACUGGAAAAACAGCAGGCAGGAAGAUGACACGCAGGAACAGUGACAAACAGCUAAACAUCUGACUUGGAGUUAUUAGAGUGUCAUCCCCUGGGCAUGUGACAAACCCCAUGUUAUGGAUCCGUGUGCUAGGGAGGAACUGGAAAUGGGGUUGGCACAACCCACAGGCUAUCAAAACAAUGUAGUUUUUCUUAACCCAGAGCGUCAGACCUGCUCUGAGCACGUACUGUACUGCUGUGUCUGCAGCUCAUGCAGAGGGACAUUCUGACAGGGAUUUCCCAAGCGCUGCCAGUGCCGUAGCCAUAGAAGCAGGAGAUAAAAAUAUUUGCACAGAACCUGGGGGCAGGGUUUGCAGCCUGUGCUGUACCACACAGCGCUCCUGCUCAACAAUGCUGUUCAGCUAAUUGUAGGCCUGGACUCCCCUGGAUAUUUUUUUCAUUAGUACCUCCCGUGGGAUACCUUACUCCAUUUGUGCCUCCACAGGCUGGCUUUAUCCUUUUUUAAGCCUUUGUUGUGGAUUCAGCAUAUCAAAGCCUCUCUUUGUCAGGACACUUCUACUUUGUACUCUGAAUGGGGAUUAAACUACACAUGGCGUACCUGGAAGCACUUGUGAAUCUGUUCUGCCUGAUGUCCAUCCCUGCCUGGCAUCUCUCCCUUACCCCUCAGGACUGGUCUGGUGACUUCAGAGCCAGUCGGGGCACAUUGGUCUUGGAUGAGGGCACAGGAUUAGUCACUGCCACCAAACAAUGUCUAAUUGUGUGUAUGUUUUCCUUUCCUCCAGAAAAGGACUCUGUGUUGUCUGUGCUGCCUCACUGCUCUAUUUUUCUACAGUUUCUUACUUUUCACAAAAAAAGCCACUCGUUCCUCCCAAACUUCUUGUAUAGCCCAGCCUCAGCUCAAGUGGCUUAAACUCAUACAAAUGGUGUCACGAGGAGAUUAAGGAGCAUACCUUGUGGCAUGAUGAAAAGCAGCAAAUGACAGCAAAAUCCUGCCUUUUCACAAAACACAUGUGAUCUUUUUUGACUCUGUCCUCGUUUUUGGAUUACUUCAGAGGAGAGAACUUUGAAUUGUAACAGAUCUGCCAGCAAGAGCGAAGUGUCUCCAGUCACUUGUGCCUGGUCUUUGCUUUCUUACACAACCUUCUAUGUUUAAAUAGAGUAGUCUGCUUCUGCUUUUUGUUUGUUUGUUGUAAUCUGGUGUUUUAUUGGGUCUUAUGGGCUCGCCUGAAGUCAGUUUAGUAGGAAACAACCCCUGAGCAAGUGAAGUUAUAUCUAUCAUUAUUGUCACUUCAAAUACUUCAGAUGUCUUGCCAGUAAAAAACCCCUUCAAGGUACCAGCAUAGCACCUGAAAACCAUGAGUGAGACAAGCAAAGAAGGAUAUGAGCAGAUGGGAAGGGACUGGGGAGUUAGACAUGGAAAUCAGCAGGAUUUCCCCGGGGAGUAAACAAGAGCCUUCCAGGAAAUGUUCUGCAGCUUGGGGGACACGUCACGGCUGAACAGGACUUCAGAGAGCAGCUGAUAAAGAAAGAAGACCAGCAUAUUAGGGACAGUGAGAAUUUGGUACUUCAGUAAGAAGGGCCAUGCAGGUGUUUCAGAAAGAUGUGAUAUCUGUGUCCUGGGCACUCAUAUCAACAUUAACAUGUACAUCAAUAAAUUCAUGGCUGCUUAUCAUUUGA
Long non-coding RNA from Pseudopipra pipra, 2864 nucleotides. RefSeq lists it as uncharacterized. The transcript is spliced from 3 exons. NCBI's taxonomy places the organism in Eukaryota, Metazoa, Chordata, Aves, Passeriformes, Pipridae. The record is from RefSeq and is a predicted model, not a curated record.